This 484-nucleotide ribosomal RNA is filed under the name uncultured bacterium. RNAcentral describes it as "partial 16S ribosomal RNA". It matches the Rfam family "Bacterial small subunit ribosomal RNA", at positions 30 to 507 of the family's 1533-position model. The record is from RNAcentral.
AUUGAACGCUGGCGGCAGGCCUAACACAUGCAAGUCGAGCGGAUGAAGGGAGCUUGCUCCUGGAUUCAGCGGCGGACGGGUGAGUAAUGCCUAGGAAUCUGCCUGGUAGUGGGGGGUAACGUCCGGAAACGGGCGCUAAUACCGCAUACGUCCUGAGGGAGAAAGUGGGGGAUCUUCGGACCUCACGCUAUCAGAUGAGCCUAGGUCGGAUUAGCUAGUUGGUGGGGUAAAGGCCUACCAAGGCGACGAUCCGUAACUGGUCUGAGAGGAUGAUCAGUCACACUGGAACUGAGACACGGUCCAGACUCCUAAGGGAGGCAGCAGUGGGGAAUUUUGGACAAUGGGGGAAAACCUGGUCCAGCCAUGGCGCGUGUGUGAAAGAGGUCUUCGGAUUGUAAAGCCCUUUUAAGUGGGGGGAAGGGCAGUAAGUUAAUACCUUGCUGUUUUGACGUUACCAACAGAAUAAGCACCGGCUAACUUCGUG